GUUGGGGACGUAUCAACAUCAGAUAAAAUUGGAACGACACAGAGAAGAUUAGCAUGGCCCUUGCACAAGGAUGACACGCACAAAUCGAGAAAUGGUCAAUUUUAUU
Non-coding RNA from Triticum aestivum (bread wheat), 106 nucleotides. The record is from Rfam. NCBI's taxonomy places the organism in Eukaryota, Viridiplantae, Streptophyta, Magnoliopsida, Poales, Poaceae.